RNAcentral lists this ribosomal RNA (492 nucleotides) under uncultured bacterium. Its description in RNAcentral is "partial 16S ribosomal RNA". It matches the Rfam family "Bacterial small subunit ribosomal RNA", at positions 28 to 523 of the family's 1533-position model. The record is from RNAcentral.
GGUGAACGCUGGCGGCGUGCUUAACACAUGCAAGUCGAACGCUGAAGCCCUUUCGGGGGUGGAUGAGUGGCGAACGGGUGAGUAACACGGGGGUAGUCUGCCCUGUACUUCGGGAUAAGCCUUGGAAACGGGGUCUAAUACCGGAUAGGACCUGUCCUCGCAUGGGGGUGGGUGGAAAGUUCCGGCGGUAUGGGAUGAGCCCGCGGCCUAUCAGCUUGUUGGGGGGGUGAUGGCCUACCAAGGCGCCGACGGAUAGCCGGCCUGAGAGGGUGACCGGUCACACUGGGACUGGCACACGGCCCAUACUGCUACGGGAGGCAGCAGUGGGGAAUCUUGCGCAAUGGGCGAAAGCCUGACGCAGCAACGCCGCGUGGGGGAUGACGGCCUUCGGGUUGUAAACCUCUUUCGGUAUCGACGAAGGGGUCCUUGUUGGGGCUCUUACGGUAGGUGCAGAAGAAGCACCGGCUAACUACGUGCCAGCAGCCGCGGUAA